Molecule: non-coding RNA, 81 nt
Submitted as: unclassified sequences
Source: Rfam
UAUAGCCACUUAUGGUGUGGGUAGUGGAAACGCCCCAGCGCUUUCUUAUAAGAGCGUAGGACACCUUAGAGUGGCUUUUUU